UGACAACAUGUACAAAGUGGGCUAGUCAUGUAGCAUGAUGGAAGGACAAGUGGAUAGCCUGAGCACUACACCGAUUACAAACUAUUUAAAAAAAAACAAACACGAAGAAGGCCUCCAGUGCAUAUAUGGAUGGAUCUUCUGUAAAAAGAGGACUUCUGUAAAGACAUUGACAGGAAUUGCACAGGCUGAAGGCAUGGAGGGAUUGCUUUCUGCAUAGGUGGAGGCAAUAUCAACAUUGAUCAGUCAAAAGAACCUGGCUCCAGCCUGCAACUUUAUCACCAAUGUACUCAUUUUAUCAACACUAUUGUUAAAAGCCCUCACUACUCAAAACCAAAAACAAGCAGUUACUACGCAGCUUUUAUAGGGUAAUUUUCAUUAUUACCCCUUUGAUUUCAAAGAAAAUGUUGGUGUUUCUUGGUUAAGGAAAUUGUACCAAAAUGAUAAAGACAUUUGGCAGAGUUUAAAAAGCUACUUUUUAUCAUUAGAAGCUAACUCAGAUGGCUUCCAAAUCCACGGAGUUUCAUAGCAUGACCAGACUUUUCAGCUUGCUCCCUAUACAGAAAGUUGCUUUUCAGGGAACUUUUUAUUUUUAACCUCAACUAUUAUUUAUAGCAUUGUUUUUUUGUUUUUUUUUUAAAAGGUGCCUGAUAAUAGGGUACUCAAGAAUAGACAGAAGUGGAUAUAAAGAUAUUAUGUUGUGCACUACAUCUUAAGAUUUAUGUUGUUUUCACUUUUCCUAACAUCACAAACUUACAUGCUGUUUGAAAUAGGGCAAUAUACAAGUAUUCUCAGAAAUCACUAUAACUAUCAAAUAAAAACUUAAAAAAGGAAGUCACCUCCAAAAAACUAAUUUAAUUGGCCAGCAUAUUGUGCAUUUAGUUUCUUUGGAGAUUAAAGUGCAGGUUUUGAAAUGGCAUAAAUAAUGCAAACAGUAUCAAUGACUUAAAUGAUCCAUAACCAGAUGUAAUGCACAUUACACAAUCUUUUCAUGUGCCAUUCAUAGAUAUUCAUGUGAUAAUUAAACUGUAACAUUCCUUUUAGCUCUCUAGAUUAAAGUAUUAAUUUCCUUCCUUAUUUUUACCCAUAUUGGGAGCCAAAUGAACCAUUUCCUUUAGAAUUUUAAUGUUUAGGUCAAAAGUUUCUCUGUUUUGGAGCUAAGUAGUUUAAGACCAGCUUCUGUAGAAAUUCAAUUCUAUAAAAAAGUCAAAACUAAAAUCAUAAUUAUAGAAAAUGUUGCUUCCAAUAGUGGCUAUCAAAUUUGAAUUUCAGGGAAUCCUACAGGGUCCUCUUAAAAUGUGUGGUUAAUAACAUGUUCAAAUGUCUAUUCUGUAUUUCUGGAGUCCAAGUACAAUAGACAACUUAGGCUUCAAAGUAGGAAAGGAUUUUAAAGACCAUCUAGAGAGCCGAAAUCCUUCACUUUACAAAUGAGGAAACUGAGGCUAACAGGUGAAGUGACUUGCCCAAAACAACACAGGUAACAGUUAGGAUUUGAAAAAAGGUACUCUGACUAAAUCCAGUACUCAUUCCUCCAAACCACAAUGCCUCUUCCAAUCAGGAGCUUGAAAAAAUAAUGCAGAUAAAGAUUUCAUAACAUAAAAUUUGUAAACUAUUUAUAAGGAAACAAAUAAUAUUCACAUAGAAAAACACAAACGAUGCUAGGGUCGAAAACCCUAAAUUCCUUGUGAGUGCCUUUUUUUUGUAUUAUAGCUCAAAAUCCAUUUUAGCAGAAUGAAUUUACUAGUAAGUGUGGUCCAUAAAAACAAAGCAAUUUCAAUGAGAAGCUGGCUCUCCUGGAAAAGGCUCUGAAAAACAGCUGGGAUACUGCAGUGCAAACUUAUUUAUUCUGUCAAGUGAUUUCUUAGUAUAACAUACUUACAUCAUACUAUUUACCAUUCAAAUUAAUGACAAUUCAGAACAAUAGGAUAGUUUUCUUGAAAUUACUGUGUAUUAUCAACUUUUAGUGGAUCAAAGUAAUUAGUGUCUAUCAGAAACUUAAAUAAAAAUCUCCUAUCGCCCAAAGGGGGGGGGGGGGGAUAUCUCCUAUCUUAUUUUUUUGUUUCCUAGAAUUUUUGCAAUUAAAAAAUGAGCAAUGGUGUCUGCAGUGCCUACCCCUCUCCUUUCUCCCUUAAGUGAAAAUCUGUUAACAAAUGUAAUUCAGAAAGUGCUUAAAUUUAG
RNAcentral lists this long non-coding RNA (2175 nucleotides) under Sarcophilus harrisii (Tasmanian devil). RNAcentral describes it as "lncRNA (ENSSHAG00000021415.1)". Lineage: Eukaryota; Metazoa; Chordata; Mammalia; Dasyuromorphia; Dasyuridae. The record is from RNAcentral.